AGAGUUUGAUCCUGGCUCAGAACAAACGCUGGCGGCGUGCCUAACACAUGCAAGUCGCACGAGAAAGUCUUCGGAUGAGUAAAGUGGCGCACGGGUGAGUAAUACAUGGGAACGUACCCUUCAGUUGGGAAUAACCACGGGAAACUGUGGCUAAUACCGAAUAAUGACGAGAGUCUAAAGAUGGCCUCUAUUUAUAAGCUAUCGCUGAAGGAGCGGCCCAUGUCCCAUUAGCUAGUUGGUAAGGUAAAGGCUUACCAAGGCGACGAUGGGUAGCUGGUCUGAGAGGAUGAUCAGCCACACUGGAACUGAGACACGGUCCAGACUCCUACGGGAGGCAGCAGUGGGGAAUAUUGCGCAAUGGUGGAAACCCUGACGCAGCAACGCCGCGUGAGUGAAGAAGGUCCUUGGAUCGUAAAGCUCUUUCGGCCGGGAAGAAGGGCUACAUGGCUAAUAUCCACGUAGUUUGACGGUACCGGAAGAAGAAGCACCUGCUAACUACGUGCCAGCAGCAGCGGUAAUACGUAGGGUGCGAGCGUUGUCCGGAAUUACUGGGCGUAAAGAGCACGUAGGCGGGCUCGUAUGUCAAUUGUGAAAGCCCUGGGCUCAACCUGGGAACUGCAGUUGAAACUGCGAGUCUUGAGUGUCUGAGAGGAUGGGAGGACUUGCUGGUGUANUAAUGAAUUACGUAAAUAUCCGCAGGAAUACCUGAGGCGAAGGCCCCUAUUUGUCAGAUCACUGACCUGAGGUGCAAAAGCCUUGGGAGGCAACCGGAUGAGAUACCCUGG
This 785-nucleotide ribosomal RNA is filed under the name uncultured bacterium. Its description in RNAcentral is "bacterial SSU rRNA". It matches the Rfam family "Bacterial small subunit ribosomal RNA", at positions 8 to 790 of the family's 1533-position model. The record is from RNAcentral.